RNAcentral lists this transfer RNA (73 nucleotides) under Paramuricea clavata. It matches the Rfam family "tRNA". Rfam says of the family: Transfer RNA (tRNA) molecules are approximately 80 nucleotides in length. The record is from Rfam by way of RNAcentral. Lineage: Eukaryota; Metazoa; Cnidaria; Anthozoa; Malacalcyonacea; Plexauridae.
GACCGCGUAGCUCAGUUGGAAUAGCAUUGGGCUAGUAUUCCAAAGGUCGUAGGUUCGAAUCCCGCCGUGGCCG